RNAcentral lists this ribosomal RNA (511 nucleotides) under Sphaeroma quoianum. Its description in RNAcentral is "partial 16S ribosomal RNA". It matches the Rfam family "Bacterial large subunit ribosomal RNA", at positions 1796 to 2609 of the family's 2925-position model. The record is from RNAcentral. Lineage: Eukaryota; Metazoa; Arthropoda; Malacostraca; Isopoda; Sphaeromatidae.
UCGCCUGUUUAUCAAAAACAUCGCCGUGAACAACUCACGGUCUAUCUGCCCAGUGAUCUCUAAACGGCCGCAGUAUCCUGACUGUGCUAAGGUAGCAUAAUAAUUAGUUUUUUUAUUGAAAACUUGAAUGAACGACUCGACGAAAAAUUUUCUGUCUCGGCAAUACCUUAAACUUACUAAAAAAGUAAAAAAGCUUUUACCCUCUAAUAGGACGACAAGACCCUAUAAAACUUUACCUUAUUUAUGUUUUGACUAAUAUACAAACUGCGCAGGGUUUAACUGGGGCGGUUUACUUUACCUUAAACAAAGACCAAACUAACAUACUUCAUGACCCUGCCGAACACUUUUUAGCAAUAAAGAACAAGUUACUUUAGGGAUAACAGCGCAAUAUCUUUUUAGAGCCCUUAUCGACAAAGAUGUUUACGACCUCGAUGUUGAAUUGAAGAACCUUAAUGAGGCAGCCCUCAUUGUAGGAAGUCUGUUCGACUUUUAAUCCUUCACAUGAUCUGAG